RNAcentral lists this ribosomal RNA (490 nucleotides) under uncultured bacterium. RNAcentral's name for it is "partial 16S ribosomal RNA". It matches the Rfam family "Bacterial small subunit ribosomal RNA", at positions 28 to 507 of the family's 1533-position model. The record is from RNAcentral.
GAUGAACGCUAGCUACAGGCUUAACACAAGCAAGUCGCGGGGCAGCAUGGGGGUUGCUUGCAAUCCCCGAUGGCGACCGGCGCACGGGUGAGUAACGCGUAUCCAACCUGCCCUUCACCACGGGAUAACCCGGCGAAAGUCGGACUAAUACCGUAUGUUGUCCAUUGACGGCAUCCGAUUUGGACGAAAGGUUUGGCGGUGAAGGAUGGGGAUGCGUCCGAUUAGCUGGACGGCGGGGUGACGGCCCACCGUGGCGACGAUCGGUAGGGGUUCUGAGAGGAAGGUCCCCCACACUGGAACUGAGACACGGUCCAGACUCCUACGGGAGGCAGCAGUGAGGAAUAUUGGUCAAUGGGCGUAAGCCUGAACCAGCCAAGCAGCGUGCAGGAUGACGGCCCUAUGGGUUGUAAACUGCUUUUAUGCGGGGAUAAAGUGGCCCACGUGUGGGUUUUUGCAGGUACCGCAUGAAUAAGGACCGGCUAAUUCCGUG